UCUAAGCAUAAAUGACAAUCAACAAUACAAAACCUAACAGGAAGAAGCAAGAAGAAAGAGUUAAGUAAAGUUUGACUUAUCUGACUGUUUUGUUUCGCUUAAUGCAUUUUAUGUGCCUUAUGGUCCAAAAAAUACGGUGUGUUAAAUCUGAUUGAACUAAUCCCUUGUCUUCUGCACAGGAUGGUGAAGGUAAUUCUGUGCAUGUCCAGGUUAAGGAUAAUGGCAACAGCACAUACGCCUGCACCUACACCCCACGUAAGCCUGUGAAGCACACUGUGAUGGUCUCCUGGGGAGACGUUCACAUCCCCGAGAGUCCAUUCAGGAUGAAUAUCGGAGCUGAAUAUCGGAGCGGGCUGUCAUCCGAACAAGGUGAAGGUCUCUGACCCUGGAGUGGCAAAGACGGGCCUCAAAGCCUUCGAGACAACAUACUUCACUGUUGACUGCUCAGAGUCUGGUCAAGGUAAAGCUCCAUAAAACUGUGUGUGUGAGAGUAAAGAUAUGAUCAUAUGAUCAUGUCAAAGAAAUAUUCCAAACAUGUUUAUAAACAGAUAUUACAGGGAAACGUAUUUAACCCACCUGCUGUUUGAGGCUAAAAAUGACUGAAGAGCAUUACCUGCAAAGGUAACAUGCUAACACAGCCUUUGUCCUCUGCCAUCAGGACAAAGGCUGUUUGUGUUUAGACUAUAACAAUGACACCCUUCAGGGUCAAAGUGGAUCCUUCUCAAGGCAGAGGGACCAGGACUCAGCCGCAGUGGUAAGAAUACCUGUACUGCCUCACAAAGUCAGAGAGUACUAACAAAAACAAGUCUGUUGAGUUUGUUUAGUUUGUUGGUCUAUAAUACGGUCGGAAUGUUUUCCGUCAUACUACAUGGAACAACUCUUCAUAACACUUUUAUGAAAAUGUUUGAUGAAAUUGACAAGAUCAAAAUUAAAAUCACAAUCGCACGGAUUUAAAAAGAAGAAUAAACAUGAAUAAACAGGGUUAUAGUUGGUAUGCUAAUGUAAACAGGUCCUUUUGAGCUGUCAUUUGAACUGUGUACCAGUCAAAGCAGUAGUAGCAGCAGGCUGUGAAAGACUUUGAAAUCAUCAACAACCACAACAACACACACACUGUUAAAUAUACACCUGUGCAACAGGCGAGAAAAGAAAUGCUCACACAUGCGGGCGUGGAUUGUAGUUACUUUGUAGUUACUUUGUAUUAUGUGGGUUCUUAUAAGACAAGGAAGCGUUCUUCUGGCUGUUAUAAAUCAUAUUAAAUGGGAGGAUGUGGAUCGCUUCCCUUUCUCAUGACAGGGUCCCCUGGGAGUUGCGUGACCUACAGUGGAGAUCACAUUCCCAAGAGCCCUUUCAGUGUCGUCGUGGCAGCCACACUGGACCUUAGCAAGGUCAAGGUGACAGGCCUGUGAGACAGUUUGUACCUCUGUCAUUGUUCUUGUACAUCCACACCUUCUGACACCAAACCUCAGCCUAUAUAAAGCCUAGUUAUAACCUAUGAAACUAUUAUUUGCUUUUAAAUGUUUGCCUAAGCAUGAAUGUUUUUACGAUGACUUUUUUUACCCCUUGUACAGUUGCCAGUAUAUUGAUGUUUUAAUUUAAUUCUUUUAAAUGAAUCUAAGCUUUUCAAGCAGAUCAGAGGUGUCAGUGUAUUUUUCUUUGGUGUUCUCAUCAAAGUGCUCAUAUACAGGUAAACAUGUUCAAUUCACGGAGCAUCAUUGGUUUUGGUCUCAAUAUUGCCUCUUCAUCAUGGCUUGUGGGUCAGGAGAAAGCAAACAGGCCAUGAGGGACUAUCAGAAAGUUCAGAUCCAGCUGGAGAACCUGGAGAUGAGUGUUUGAGACCGCUGUAAGAAGGAGUUCACAGACUUGAUGACAGAGAUGAUGGACAUGUCCAAUACUUUGCUGGGCUCUGGGAUUGCUUUCCUGGAUUAUCACACAUAUGCUGAGCGCAUUUUCUUCCCGGGGCACCAGGAGUCCCAACUGGGACAAGCUCUGGAUGUUUCACAAAGUUGUAGGCAGACAGUUGAGCAAGGGCUGAUUUCUUUGUCCAAUUUGCUGAACAGUAAACUUUUUCUCACCAAGGUAAGCCUCCACAGCUGCCUUUGAUUAAAUCUUUAUUUAUGUAUUUGUUUUAUUUAUGCCGCCUACAUUUGCUGAGCAAGUCCCUACGCAGUCCACCGACAUCAGAGUGUCUGACUUCAUACAUAUCAUACGUGUUGAUUGACUGUUGGUUCUAUUUUGUUGCUACUACUCUCCAAUGUCAGCUUUACUGGUCUUGACAUAAACGAGGAGGAUUUUUCAUACACAGAUUAAGUAACUUCAUAUUCUCACCAUUACAAAAAUGCAGUAAUCAGAAAAAUCACUUACAUUUUAUUGGGAGUCAAAUUAAAAUAAAAAGGCAAGGUUAAAAUAAACACCUUGUUGAAGAUUGAGGGUAACCGGUAAGAUUAUUUGGCACAAAACAAGUUAUGGAGAGAAGCUGAAUCAUUAGAAAUAUAGAUGUUGAGGCGCUUCUGAUUCUGUGAUUGACAUUAAGUUUAUCAUGUCACCAUCAUGACCAUACCAUGCUAGCUAUAUAAAGUCUCACCUAUGACUCACCUUCAGCUGAAAACAGUCCUGGGAUUUCUAGCAGCACUGUGUUUUUGAAAGUAGCUAAUCAAACCUUGGC
Molecule: long non-coding RNA, 2662 nt
Organism: Haplochromis burtoni (Burton's mouthbrooder)
Lineage: Eukaryota; Metazoa; Chordata; Actinopteri; Cichliformes; Cichlidae
Exons: 3
Source: RefSeq, a predicted model, not a curated record